UCACAGUCAAGGGAAAUGUAAAUGAGAAUAAAGAUGCAGUAUUAGGCCGAGAGUGGUGGCUCACACCUGUAAUCCCAGCACUUUGGGAGUACGAGGAGGUAGAUCACCUGAGGUCAGGAGUUCAAGACCAGCCUGGCCAACAUGUUGAAACCCCGUCUGUACUAAAAAUACAAAAAGUAGCCAGACGUGUUUUGUGUUUAGUGCAAUACCAUAAAACUUGAAUAACACUAUGGGACCCACAAAAAGUGCCAUUAGUGAUGCUAGAAGUACUCCCAAGAAGCAGAGAAAAGUCAUGAUGUUACAAGAAAAAGUUGAGUUGCUUGAUAUGUACUGUACAUUGAAUAGUUGCCUGCCACUUCAGACAGACGAUUUUUCUUGUAAACAGAUGGUGUAAACUUAUAGUGUUGAUAAAUACAAGACUGUGGCAGGAGGAUUGCUUGAGCCCAGGAGUUCGAGACCAGCCUGGGCAACAUAGCAAGACUUUUUUUUUUUUUUUUUUUUUUUUGCGACAGAGUUUUGCACUUGUUGCCCAGGCUGGAGUGCAAUGGCGUGAUCUCCGCUCACUGCAACCUCCACUCCCGCGUUCAAGCGAUUCUCCUGUCUCAGCCUCCCAAAUAGCUGGGAUUAUAGGCAUGCACCAACACGCUCAGCUUUUUGUAUUUUUAGUAGAGACAGGGUUUCACAAUGUUGGCCAGAAUGGUCUCGAUCUCUUGACCUUGUGAUCCACCUGCCUUGGCCUCCCAAAGUGCUGGGAUUACAGGCAUGAGCCACCGAGCCUGGCCAAGACUCUUUAACAAAAGAAACUUAUGUGUUUAUUUUCAACUGAGCAGGGGUCAGUGCCCCUAACCUCCAUGUUAUUCAAGGGUCAGUUGUAUUUUCCAAGGGAUUUACAUAUUUAUUUACUUAUUUAUUUAUUUAUUUAUUUUUGAGACAGAGUCUCAAUCUGUCGCCCAGGCUGGAGUGCAGUGGUGCGAUCUCGGCUCACUGCAACCUCCACCUCCCGGGUUCAAGUGAUUCUCCUGCGUCAGCCUCCCGAGUAGCUGGGAUUACAGGCACGCGCCACCACACCUGGCUAAUUUUUGUAUUGUAGUAGAGACAGGGUUUUGCCAUUUUGGCCAGGCUGCUCUCAAACUCCUGACCUCAAGUGGUCCACCCACCUCGGCUUCCCAAAGUGCUGGGAUUACAGGCAUGAACCGCCAAGUCCGGCUGGGGUUUACAUUUAGCUCAAAGAAAAUCUGUGCCCUUGCUCCCCAUACCUUCACCCCGUUGAUAAAAGCACAGUUGGCUUCCAACACUGCCCUCUUUUCUCUGUGGCCACAGGCAGCUGUGAUCCCAGCCACUCACCAUUGUGUUUCAAGGUGUUACAGGCUCAACAAAAUAUAUGGCUAUAUAUUGGUGAUUUUGCCUCAACAACAUAUAUUGUCCCUCAACAAGAUAUAUUGAAGUCCUAACUCCCAGCACCCCAGAAUGUGACUAGAUUUGGAAAUAGGAUCUUUAC
RNAcentral lists this long non-coding RNA (1498 nucleotides) under Homo sapiens (human). RNAcentral describes it as "non-protein coding lnc-PRPF4B-4:4". The record is from RNAcentral. Lineage: Eukaryota; Metazoa; Chordata; Mammalia; Primates; Hominidae.